CGAACGUUGGCGGUGCGCUUAAUGCAUGCAAGUCGAGGGAGAACCAGUUGAUUCGUAAGAUUCGGCUGGGGAAACCGGCGAACGGGUGCGUAACACGUGAGGAACCUGCCCCGAAGACCGGGAUAGCCCGAGGAAACUCGGAUUAAUACCGGAUACCCUCUUUGGACCACAUGGUCUAUUGAGGAAAUGGUCCGCCGCUUCGGGAUGGCCUCGCGGCCUAUCAGCUUGUUGGUGAGGUAAUGGCUCACCAAGGCCGAGACGGGUAGCUGGUCUGAGAGGACGAUCAGCCACACUGGGACUGAGACACGGCCCAGACUCCUACGGGAGGCAGCAGCAGGGAAUAUUGCACAAUGGGCGAAAGCCUGAUGCAGCGACACCGCGUGCGGGAUGAAGGCCUUCGGGUUGUAAACCGCUUUCAGGAGGGACGAAAAUGACGGUACCUCCAGAAGAAGGCCCGGCCAACUAC
RNAcentral lists this ribosomal RNA (466 nucleotides) under uncultured bacterium. RNAcentral's name for it is "bacterial SSU rRNA". It matches the Rfam family "Bacterial small subunit ribosomal RNA", at positions 30 to 504 of the family's 1533-position model. The record is from RNAcentral.